GUGUCACCUUAAAACUGCCCCAUCUCAUCUGAUCUCAGAAGCUAAGGAGGUUAGUCCUGGUUAGUAUUUGGAUGAGAAGCACCAGGUAAACU
This 92-nucleotide ribosomal RNA is filed under the name Periophthalmus magnuspinnatus. The record is from RNAcentral. Lineage: Eukaryota; Metazoa; Chordata; Actinopteri; Gobiiformes; Gobiidae.